RNAcentral lists this ribosomal RNA (251 nucleotides) under uncultured bacterium. RNAcentral's name for it is "partial 16S ribosomal RNA". It matches the Rfam family "Bacterial small subunit ribosomal RNA", at positions 524 to 776 of the family's 1533-position model. The record is from RNAcentral.
GGCGAGUGGUGCAAGUGUUAUUCCUCGUGACUGGGCGUAUAGGGUGCGUAGGCGGUGUAAAAAGUUUUCAAUUAAAUGCACAUACGUGGAACAAAUUGAUCAAACUAUUACACUAGAGUAUAGUAGAAGAUAGCGGAACUUAUUGCAUUAGAGUUAAAAAUGCGUUUAAAAACAAUAAGUAACACCAGAGGCGAAGGCGGCUAUCUAGACUAUACUGACGCUGAGGCACGAAGGCAUGGGGAUCAAAUGGG